RNAcentral lists this unclassified non-coding RNA (390 nucleotides) under Hevea brasiliensis (rubber tree). Lineage: Eukaryota; Viridiplantae; Streptophyta; Magnoliopsida; Malpighiales; Euphorbiaceae. The record is from RNAcentral.
GGCGGGAUUGGAAUCAAGGGUGAUACAUUGUCGCUUUCUACAUUCUCUUCUACUCUGCUGGAACUACCUGUCUUAGCCGCUUUGGGAGCUUGAUGGGCCGUGACCGCUGCUACUUGGGCAGUGGUGGUUCUUGAUGCACGCGACUCUAUUAAUGGUGUGACGUUUUGAGAUACGAUUUUUAAUACGCUGCGAGAGGAUGAAGUAACUGAUGGAGGUGGCAGAGGUGGAGGUGGAGGAACUGAAUGGACUUUCUUGGACUUUCCUUUCUUGGAAGAGAAAAGUUUUUGGAAGAAAUGGGGUGGAGGUGGCGGCGGCGGAGGUGGGGAUGGUGAUGGUAUGAAAAGUGAAGAUGAAGGUUGAGGGUCCAAUAAGCUCUCAAGAUUUUCAACA